Molecule: ribosomal RNA, 253 nt
Filed under: uncultured bacterium
Lineage: Bacteria
Description: partial 16S ribosomal RNA
Rfam family: Bacterial small subunit ribosomal RNA
Source: RNAcentral
UACGGAGGGGGCGAGCGUUAUUCGGAAUUAUUGGGCGUAAAGGGCGCGUAGGCGGCUAGAUGUGUCAAAGGUGAAAUCCCUCGGCUCAACUGAGGAACUGCCUUUGAAACUGUCUGGCUUGAGGCCGGGAGAGGGUAGCGGAAUUCCCAGUGUAGCGGUGAAAUGCGUAGAUAUUGGGAGGAACACCAGUGGCGAAGGCGGCUACCUGGACCGGUUCUGACGCUGAGGCGCGAAAGCGUGGGUAGCAAACAGG